Molecule: long non-coding RNA, 934 nt
Organism: Xiphias gladius (swordfish)
Lineage: Eukaryota; Metazoa; Chordata; Actinopteri; Istiophoriformes; Xiphiidae
Exons: 3
Source: RefSeq, a predicted model, not a curated record
CGGACCAAUCACAGCACACAGCGAAGUAAACAAGGAAGCGGCCGAAUCAACCGCUCGCAAAUAAGAGAAAAUGGAAAGGGGAGCCUCUUGUAUUUGUACACAAACGGGGAAUCAUCCCACUUUCACAAAGGAGUGGCAGAAUUGCCCACACUUUAGGACACCGCCUGUAGGAGUUACACAACUUUGCUUAGUUCAGUCUUCUGUGACAGUUCCUCCAGGUGUCGCACGCAGUUUGCAUUGAGAGGAGGAAAGACCUCUACGCUAGCCCUCGUGAAAAAGCACUGUAAAGAGUUUGCCACCCCAGAUAUGAUCGCUGAAAUAAAGCACUGGGGAGGGAUUACAUACGACCAAACACACCAGGCAGAACACAAUGGGAGAAUAUUCAGAGCUAAAAAAAAAAGGAUAAUAGCAUAUGAGGAGCAGUGUUCUCAUCAUAGAGAAGCUGAAGAGGCCGGGUGAAGAUUCAAAGCACUCUGUUUUAAUGUGAGAGUCAAGACAAACAACGGGCACGACACAAGAUCAUUUCUCAUUAAAUGUUGUUUCAUGGUUUAACAUUUUACCAGAUAUUAAAGGGGGUACUCCACCAAUUUUACACAUUCAAAUUCAGUUUAUGCAUCGUGUGUAGUACUAUUCAGUCUGUGAAAAGAGUUAUAUUAUUUGUUCUAUGGCUCUAGAGAGAGCUUUCAUUGUGUUUAUCUCAUAUAUAUAUAUAAUAGCCAUUGUUCUGGGGGAUUGACCCAUACCUGGGACUAAAAGUCAUAAUGUCUCAGAUUCUGCUUCAUUCAUUAUGAUUAUUCUUUUCUUGAUUUGGGUUUAGCAAGUUUCCCUACUUUAGUGCAAUACUACAUCAAUACUCCUACUGCAUCGCUUGGGCGCCUCUUUGAAAUGCCAGUUUUAUGUCCACGGAGACUGCAGUCGUAAAAUGUAGUCCAUA